Non-coding RNA from Salvia hispanica, 1358 nucleotides. Lineage: Eukaryota; Viridiplantae; Streptophyta; Magnoliopsida; Lamiales; Lamiaceae. The record is from RefSeq and is a predicted model, not a curated record.
AAAAGAAUAGCAUUAGUCAUUUAAUAUAUAUUACUCCCAGCCAAACUCACGUCUGUACUCCCUAUCAAACUCAUGUAUAUAUUUUAGUAUACUCCCAACUUAACACUUUUAUCAACUAAAGAAAAGGGAAAAAAAAAAAAGUAGUACAUAACUCCCAAAUCAUCACACGUAUAUAUCCUCUGCCAUUUAGCCACGCCUAUCUCUUCCUCUCGUCUCUAUCUCUAUCUCCAUCUCUAUCUCCCCCAUUCUCAAACUUCUCUCUGAAAUUCUCCUAACAAUUCACAAUGCAGGAACAAUCCCAAAUUAUCUCCCAAAUUAUUUCACAGAAGCAUAAUUCCUAUCCGUCAUAGCUCUCUCCCUCUUUCUCACAAAAACAGAAGUAACCAAAGGACUCUCAUCUCUCGUUCCAAAAAUCGACGCCGCAACCGCCUUCGUCGCUGCUGCAGUCACGGCCUCUCCGUCACCGCCACUGUCCGCCACCGAUCCCGGCGGUCAGCUCCUCCGUCGCGGCACCGCUACUCCCAACGACACAUGGUUUAAUUGAAAUUGAAAAGAAACAGGAGACAGCUUCUAAAGCCUUAAAGUUCGAAGCUUUAGGAGGAAAAAGAUUAUCAUUCAACAAGUUUCAAGAAAUUAAAUUCCAAAACUUUUCCGGGCUGUGAUCUACUGUGAAAUAUAUGUGACCAUGAUGUGGAGGAUUUCAGCGAUUAAGGAUAUACCUUUGAAGAGAAGAAAAUUUGCACAAGCAGAAGGUAUUGAAAAGUCACACUCUCAAUUUCUCCUUCCCAUUGUAAAUGUCGAAUUUUGGGGUCAACAACUACGGAGGGUUUCGAAUUCAAUGGAAGGAGCAGAAAUUACCUUCGCGGAAGAAGCAGAACUUGCAGAAGAGAAGAUAUUGAAAAAAAAAUCACAACUCGUUGCGUUUCUCCUCCACACUGUGAUUUCGAGAAUUUUGAUUAUGGAAUCGACCAAUAUGCAGAUUUUCAAAUUCAAUGGGAGGGGAAGAAAUUACCUUCACUGAAAGGGAAGAAAACUGCAGGGACGACGGACUGCUGAGAUUGUGGGAGGAGAUGUAUAAUAUAGAGAUUUCAUUGGUUUGUUGAGAGAUUUUUGGUAGUGGGAGCAACGGUGGAGACGUGGAUUUAGGAGAGGGAAUUUAUUUUGACUAAGAAUUUGACUGUAGUAGAAGAAUAAUUAAUUUAUAUUUUGGCUUCUCAAAAUCGGUCAACCAAAAAGGAAUAAAAGCUAUAAACAUGGGAGGUAAAAAGAUAAGCCCAAAUAUUUGGUUUAGAGUAUUUAUUGGUAUUUUAUUUUUAGUAUUUUGGUGAUUAAAUAAGAACACCUAAUAUUUCCAUCGA